This 364-nucleotide ribosomal RNA is filed under the name uncultured bacterium. RNAcentral's name for it is "partial 16S ribosomal RNA". It matches the Rfam family "Bacterial small subunit ribosomal RNA", at positions 338 to 699 of the family's 1533-position model. The record is from RNAcentral.
CCUACGGGUGGCAGCAGUGAGGAAUAUUGGUCAAUGGACGGAAGUCUGAACCAGCCAUGCCGCGUGCAGGAAGACGGCUCUAUGAUUUGUAAACUGCUUUUGUACAAGGGUAAACCUGAAUACGUGUAUUCAGCUGACAGUACUGUACGAAUAAGGAUCGGCUAACUCCGUGCCAGCAGCCGCGGUAAUACGGAGGAACCAAGCGUUAUCCGGAUUUAUUGGGGUUAAAGGGUGCGUAGGCGGAUUUUUAAGUUAGAGGUGAAAUGUCCGAGCUUAACUAGGGAACUGCCUCUAAUACGGUGGGUCUAGAGAGUGGGUGAGGUAGGCGGAAUGCAUGGUGUAGCGGUAAAAUGCUUAGAGAUCA